AUAACCAUAUUAAAUCAUGCAUACAAACUCAUAACCAACUGCCACUAGUAUAUAUUCAAUCACAUGUUAUCCUUAAAUUAAGUAUAUUUUUCACAUGUACCUAGGUUAUAACAAAAACUCCACAGAAAUUAUAGAGAAAGUUAUAACAAAAACUCCACAGAAAUUAUAGAGAAAGAAACUACUAAGGUUGUCCACUUAGUGAAUUAAACUAUCACUUAGUGAAUUAAACUGACCAACCCGACUUAUCCAAACCGACUCAAACCAAUUUAUAGGUUUAAAUUCCAACUUCGGGUCCAAUUGGUUAAUUUUCUUCAAAUAAUCACUUUUUUAGUUGGUUGAGAGAAUUAGUUCUUGAGACUGGACUCUACUUUCUAAUCCCUAACUUCCUCUGCGAUUCUAUAGCCUCCAACCUCCAGAGAAACUUUGUCGUCUCCUCCAGAGACUUCUAAUCUUGAGAAAUACCGAAGAGGCCUCUCCAGAAACCUUCACCGACUUCUUCAGCAACUUCGAAUUUUGUUGUCGACGCCUCAAAAGGAUGGUUUUGAUGAAGUUCUAGAGCAUAUAAGUGUGGAAGGAAGCUUGGAAAGGUAAAAGGAUUGAGAAGUGUUGAUGAUACAAAGUACACGGGUUGUGUAAGCACAACCACGAACCCGUGUAACAUUCUGCUAGAAGAAAUCCAAAGAGCCGAGGAAGAAACAAAGUACACGGGUCGUGUAACUUGACCCAUGUAAAUCCUAGAGACCCGUGUAACCUUCUGUGCCAAUGCAAGACAUACCCAUUCAGCUUUAGUAAGUUACACGGCCCUGGGCCGUGUAGUGAUACACGGGCUGUGUAUCCGUCGAUAAUCAGUUUCUUGAUUUUACUUCAGUUGCAGUUUUUAAUAGAGAGAAAGACUCUUAACACCUCAGGGACUAUAAAAACCCAACCCUAGGCCAUUUAUUAUAAAUAGAAGAGGCAGCAGCCGAUCCAAGGGGGAUUAGACCUUCGUUCUCCAUUCACAUUCUAGAUUUCUUCAAUUUUCUUCUUUAAUUUUCUGUAAGCCAUGAACAUGAGUGGCUAAGUUUUUAAUUCAGUUCAAGGGAUUCAAGUUCUUUUGUGUGAUUUGUGAGACCAAGUUCUUAAUUUAAUUUAUGUCUUUUGAAUA
Long non-coding RNA from Hevea brasiliensis (rubber tree), 1144 nucleotides. RefSeq lists it as uncharacterized. NCBI's taxonomy places the organism in Eukaryota, Viridiplantae, Streptophyta, Magnoliopsida, Malpighiales, Euphorbiaceae. The record is from RefSeq and is a predicted model, not a curated record. The transcript is spliced from 2 exons.